Molecule: transfer RNA, 95 nt
Filed under: Sordaria macrospora k-hell
Lineage: Eukaryota; Fungi; Ascomycota; Sordariomycetes; Sordariales; Sordariaceae
Also listed under: 1 other name
Rfam family: tRNA
About the family: Transfer RNA (tRNA) molecules are approximately 80 nucleotides in length. Their secondary structure includes four short double-helical elements and three loops (D, anti-codon, and T loops). Further hydrogen bonds mediate the characteristic L-shaped molecular structure. tRNAs have two regions of fundamental functional importance: the anti-codon, which is responsible for specific mRNA codon recognition, and the 3' end, to which the tRNAs corresponding amino acid is attached (by aminoacyl-tRNA synthetases). tRNAs cope with the degeneracy of the genetic code in two manners: having more than one tRNA (with a specific anti-codon) for a particular amino acid; and 'wobble' base-pairing, i.e. permitting non-standard base-pairing at the 3rd anti-codon position.
Source: Rfam by way of RNAcentral
GGGAUUGUAGUAUAGUGGUCAGUACUUCUCGUUGUGGUUCGAUUUCGAUCAUACAACGAUCCGAGAGGACCCAGGUUCGAUUCCUGGCAAUCCCA